RNAcentral lists this long non-coding RNA (1517 nucleotides) under Vulpes vulpes (red fox). RNAcentral's name for it is "lncRNA (ENSVVUG00000015037.1)". The record is from RNAcentral. Lineage: Eukaryota; Metazoa; Chordata; Mammalia; Carnivora; Canidae.
AAGUUUUAGUUUAAAAAUAACCAAAGCUUUUUCACCCCCUGGAAGUUGUUGACAGCAGUUUUAUCCCAUCCUAUCUGCAAGCUCUAAUUUCUGGAGAGAGAAACCCAACUGAGCCAAAACUUGGAUUGGUUUCCACGCAUAGGCCUCAGCGUUUAAAGUGCCAGCCACCCUCGUCUGCACCUUCUAUAGAGCCCCUAGGUGGCCCUAAGCAUGCACCAAAUAAUCUCCGUGAGCUUGAAAAGGGAUAGCACCUGCCUUUAGAUAAUGACAAUUCAGCAAACCCUGGAUGCCCUUCAGGGUUUCCCUUCCAAUCCCAGAAAUGCCGGUAACAAAUCAGAUGGGCUGGGGCAGGAUCUGGCAUGAUAGGCUGGCUCUAAACUCCCUCCUGAGAGACCAAGAGAGGAAAUGAUGGAAUUGGUUGGCCCUGUUUCCACUCCUCUGUUAAUUCUCAGGGUUCUUAUGCCUUCCCUAAGGGAGCCACCUAAACUGCUCGGGGGUGAAAAAUCCUCUUGUAUGAAGUGCCAAGCUGCCUGCAGCAGUGCAUGAUGGACAUUUUUUUUCUUUUUAAAACACACCAACAAAAAAAUGUAUUUGUAGAUUGUGAUAAAGUGUAAAUAACUGAAUUUUCAACCAUGGUUUGAAGUCAGCUUUCAGGGCAUUAUGUCUUGUUUUGAUGAAAAGAGAUCACUCUAUACCCCCCUUUUUAAAGGAAAAUUAUCGCAAGAGAAUCAGGAUGUGUAAAGCUAACAUGCAUCGCAAAAAACCAAAGGUGGUUGAAAACUCCUGAGGCAUUUCCUGGAGUAGAAUGGGUAGUGAAGACCCAUUUCAGUGAUCAGAGGACUCCGGAAACCAGGAGAGCUGCCUGCUGUGUGUCAAGGCUGGCCUGAGGGCAUCUGCCGAGCACAGAGAAACCCAGGCCACAAGAGCAACAGUCUUUUCCCACUCCACCUCUUGAGCUGUCUGAUUUGCCCACAGAACACCAUCCAGGAUUCCCCUAACAGAGUCUCUGGGUCCGGAAUGGAGUCCUCAGGGCUGCAUGGGGCUGUGAUGCUAACAGUUACACCUGCUCAGGACUUGAAAGAGUUGAAGGGGACUGACGGUAUCCCAGGCACAGCCUCCCAGAUCUGAAUAAACUUCCACCUCCCACUGUGUCACUCCCAUUUUGCCUGCUUCCCCUUAGCCUCCAGCAGAACUGGCUGGAACACACACCAGCAUCACCUAUUUCCCACCCUCCCACACUUGUGUUGUGGAUGCCAGCCUGGAGGCCCUUGGGCACCUCCAGAGGGCUCUCGGGACAAGAUCACUUGUCACCUCUAUUACAGGUGGAGGAAAGCCAAGUGAGGAGGUUUAUUUACUUUGAGCAAGUUAUUUAACUUCUGAGCCUGUUUUUCUCUUCACAGUUGAUUACUUACUUUGCUCAAAGGCUACUCUUGCAGGGUAGGGCUUUUCCUCUUCACCUCUGUACUAUAUCCCUUCCCCAACAAAUAAAAGAUUUGGUCACAUGAAGAAUGGUCCCA